UCCCUUAUUAAGGAGGAAUUUUUGUGGAAAUGCUCGAGGGCAUUUUCUACCGUUGGGCAAGGGCAAAACCUAGGCGGACGCCCUGGUCUAGGCAUUGGGAGCUCGCUUAGGCGACGUCCAAUCUGCUUGGGGCGGCGCCAAGGCCUCCCAGGGGCACCCCACCUUGAUAGAUUGGCUGUUUUCUCUUUCCUUGGUUGAUUGCUUCAAGAGAUUUACGUUGGAGGUUUGAGAUUCAGUCAAGGAAAAUAAGUAAAGUUCUUAGAAGUGAUCGGGGAUACAAAUACACCCUUAACUGUUUGGUAAGUCCAAUGCGGAUCAAGGGAUAGGUUCCGUAAGAAACGAUAUCCUAUGCUCAGCAUCAAAAUGGUAUCGCAAAAGGUAGGAAUUUUUUCCUAAUUUACAAGGGAGUUCCAUGAUGGCAGAAACACAUAUCGUAUUGACCUUUUGUUUGGGAGAUGCUUUGUUGACUGUUAUGUACAUUUUUACUAGAAUUCCUUCAAAACCUGUGCCUAAAAUCUCUUAUGAGUUGUGGACUAGUAGAAAACUUGGUCUAUCACAUCCCAUAGGACUAGUAAUCUAGAUUAAAGGUCCAUGGAAUGUCCUUUCAUAUGAUAUGUUACUUCAAAGGUAUAUCCUAAUCUAUGAUUUUGAAAUGGGUGGAAUCUCAUGAUGUGAACUUCAUUUUGUCGAAGUACUUAAGCACUGAGAGGUCUGUGGGAUCUUAAAUAGGGAAUGGUGAAGCGAUUCCUCUACUAAAGGGCUAUAGUGUGAGUAUUCCUAUAGUCGUCAAGAAUAGUGGGAAUGAACCGCCAUUCAUUCUCAAGCAUCAAAGGAGUGCAAGUGACAGAGUUCCCCAUAGACAUUUUGAGAUUGAAGGGGAAUGCCUGACAUGCAUCUCCAUUAAUGAGGAUGAAUCAGGUCUAUAUCAGGAAAGCACUGCAAUUCUUUGUUGUAGCCAAUUGGAUUGCCACAAUGUCCCAAGAGAUUAGUUCCAUGGCUAUGGUCGCUCAAGGAUAUUUUUUCACGCUUGGAGUGGGAGCGCUUUUCCGGUAUAAUAAGAAGCAGACGUGUUUGCUAUUGACGUCCUUAGAGGCGAUGGACAUUGCUUAUUGUGUAGCAUUUGCUGGAGGGCUGAUGGCCUAGGAGGUUCUUGCAAUGUUAGGGUUCGGAUCAAGUGCUAGAGAGCCUGUUGCCGUGUGUUGUACCAACUCGACAACACUAGCUUCUAUAAAGAAUGCAAAGUAUCACAAUAAGUGAAAGCACUUGGAGAUAAAAAAUUAUCUUGUGUGAAAUGUUAUUGAGAAGAAAUAGGUUUUCUUGACAUAAAUUCCCCUGCGUAGGGUGGUAAUAGACUCUCUGUUGUGCAUCAACACGCUCCAUUUAGCAUCCCACUUGAUGCAUUGCUUGCGACAAGACGCAUGAAUGUGACUGAAUUGAGACAUGUUUGGUGAAAUCUGAUAUAGUAUCUUGUAUUAUUUAUCAUUUACAUCAUGUAGUUCGACUCAUAGUGUGACAUGAGUCACACUUGCCGUUAUUAGUCAUAUUGAGGUGCAUACGAUAUUCCCUGCCUCUUGUUAUACCGUCGAUAAUUGCCCGUCACCAAGUGACCUUGAGUGCCUUCAUAGAUCUGGUGACUAGGUUAAGAAUUGGAGACUUGAUUGUGCUACUUUAGCAUGUCUUCCCUAUUUGUUAUUUGGGGUUCUCACCCCAUAGGUAGGACCUCACCACGGUGACCAUUCACCACCUAGUGGCUAUUCACCAUGGUGGAACAAAACUCCCAUAUAACUGGGCCCUACAGUGGCCAAUUGACCUCGAUAUUUAGUUAGGAGUCGCUGAGAUCAAAAUUAGGGGAUUUGGAGGCAUGAGUGAACUUGUUUUCUUUGGAGUGUUAAAUGCCCCGUCUCGGUAAAAUUUCGAAGCGCAACGGUUCCGACUAGUACAACUCCAGAAUACAUCUAGAACAAAUAUAAUAUUUUUGAGUCUCUGAGUUGCACACUCAAGGCCCG
Molecule: long non-coding RNA, 2006 nt
Filed under: Amborella trichopoda
Lineage: Eukaryota; Viridiplantae; Streptophyta; Magnoliopsida; Amborellales; Amborellaceae
Description: long non-coding RNA (ATRI_LNC005417)
Source: RNAcentral